Long non-coding RNA from Passer domesticus (house sparrow), 3193 nucleotides. RefSeq lists it as uncharacterized. The transcript has 3 exons. NCBI's taxonomy places the organism in Eukaryota, Metazoa, Chordata, Aves, Passeriformes, Passeridae. The record is from RefSeq and is a predicted model, not a curated record.
AAAGACAGCCACGUAUGCUGGUCAUAUUGGUGCUGAAAGAUGAAAGAGGGAUGGUGGAGGAAAGGGUGGAGAGGAAGAGAAAAAGGCAAGAAGGAAGCAUGAGAGGGUGAGGAGAGAGAUGCUGAGCUCUGAUCUCUGCUUCCCGCACCUGGGAGCAAUUAGAGCUACUCUGCCUGUGCCCCGCAGAGACACUGAAGGGAUGAAGAUGUGACAAAGACCAGGCUAUUUUUUGCUGAGGUUACUGUCACUAAUAAAUGGAAACUCUCCCUUGACACGUGUUCCUGUUCCUUCCAGCGUCUGGGCAUUUUGCAUCCUCCUCCAAAGGCAGCCUUGCCGGUAGCAGCCUCACUCGGAGCUGACCCACACUCCCUCCAGGGAGGCCAGACUCAUAAACAAUUCUGUGAAAUACAGCUGAAAGGCGUUGGGGGGAUGGAGAGGCUCUGCAGGCACCCCAUCCCUCUCCCCACACCAUUAAUCCAGCUCCAGUGAGGCAGCAGCAAGGCAGGGAGCUCCGUCCAUAACCUGGGAUGGAGGCUGGGGAGCGCAGCCAGCGUUCUGGGGGCUGCCUUUCCUGAGCCUCUCUCUGCCUGCACCACUGUGGCAGGAGAUGGGGGAAAGGGAGCUGAAGGGGAGGCAGGGAGAGAGCUGGGUCCUUGCAUCCCCACUGUGAUCUCUCAGCACUGAGAUAAUUGUCUGCCGAUGACAGCUGAGGUCAGGCAUGACAGAUACCUUGGGAAGAGCUCCUGGCUCCAAGACCUCCCUGCAGCAGCCCAGUUCAAUACUGGGGUUCAGAGAGCCCACACCAGCCAUCAGACCCAACUGCAGCUGAAUGAGGAAGCCAGCUUGAAGACAAUGCGCUGGAAUAUCCCAGAGGACUGGAAAUCAGAGUUGCGGUCUCUCAACGCUGAGUUAAGCCCGCGUUGGCUUGAUGAGAUAUUCGUGGCAGAACUUUUCCUGUGCCAGCCUGACACAAUUCCCACUCCCACAGUUCCGAUGUCCCCCACGAGCUGCUCUUGAAGGCACCAUUUGAAGAUGUUGCACCACAUCUUCUCACUGAGACCUCGAAGGGAGCCUGUAACCCUCUGAAGAGAGCUGUGAAAGACGUAGAAACAAAACUAGUUUCCUCAGGGUUGGUGCAGCGAGUGAUGAAGGCAGGGGAGCAGGGACACCUAGGCAGAGAUUUUCUCCCUGUUCAGCUGCUUUGGGCAUUUGGCUUCUUGUUGCCCAAGUUCCUCUAUCCUCAGUUGUGAGAACUGCAGUCCUCAUUCCUGCUCGUGGUCCACAAGCAGCUCUCUUCUGCUGCACCUCCUAGCAGAGACCUGUUUGUAAGUGCACCUAAGCUAGCAGAGACCUGUUUGUAAGUGCACCUAAGCCUGCUUCCCCUACCUGCCCUGACCUCCUCUGUCCCACGACACAGAAACAUUAAAAACAUGAAUGCUAACACUCCUGCAAAUCCAAAAAAAGGGACGUUUUCAGCGUGGCUUCACAUCUUGGGGUUGCUCAGGAGCCAUUUUCAGCACUUCAAGUUGAAGUGCUUUUGAAAAGGAAAAUCAAUGCUGAGGCAGCAUGCCCAAAAACGAGGGGUCAGUAGGCUGGCGUGGGGGAGGUGCAGGUGAUGGAGGAGCAACGGGAGAGUGCCUCCAGUGUGUGAUCCCUCAUUGUGGCUGAGUCACUAACCCUAAACACAUAAAUCAAGGCCAGCUUGGGGAUCACGCCUGCAGGCACGCUCUGUUUGAUCCAGGAAGGCUCACUUCAGCAGCAGCUUUAGGAAAGACUGUGCCAAGGCUGCACAAUGGGAAGGGCUGCUGUGUGUUUCUGUUAGCAUUGACACAUUUGCCCCAUUAUUCAUGGCUGGUCUGCAUUUUGCUUCCUCUUGGUUCCCAGCCUACUUUUUCACUGGGUUUUCAUGCCUUUGAGGCAAGCAGCACUGAAAUGGUGCCAGUCCUUUGUCAAGAGCCAACUGGGCAUACCCUGGGCUUUAGUUUUUGCUGGCGACAGUCCCAGGAGAAGGUGCCUUGUGGUCCUCCAUCGUAUGUGUUGCCUCUCCUCUCUGCUGUCCAGCUCACUAAUCAAUUUUUAAAUCUAUUAGCUGAUUUUUUUUAAGUAGACAUGAUGGAAGAGUAGGGGUCUCAAAGACAAGUGUUAGGAAAACUGGUGUCCGGACCUUUUUCCUCCAUCUUCUUGCAGUGCCAGCUGAAGUGAAAGGCUAUGAUGCAUGAGCUCACUUUUAAUCAGGUAAUCCAGCUGGGAGAGAGCAAUACCAUAACAAUCCAUUCAGGAUUAAAGAAAAGCUUCUGGCAGUCCCUCUCACCAUCCAUAAGACAUUCAUUGUCUCUGCUAUGAGCUGCAGGCUCUUCUCUGCUGGGCAGAGUCCCUCAGGAUGGCCAAGCACUGGGACACUGCCCACAGCAGGAGCCACUCACUUCUCAAGGGGUCCUUAUCCACUCAAACAACACCAGCUUGGGAUUUAUCUUCUGUUUAUGCCCCCAGCAGAACUGAACAAAACCCAGUGGCCAUCCUUCCCAGCAUCCCAUCUCUGCCCAUGCCUUUGGCUUUGCUCAGGUGCCCUGAAAGCAGAGCAGGGUAACUGGGAAACACAACUGCGUUGCCAGGAACAGGUCCUCAGAGUCUUCUGCCCAAAUUGUGGGUUGAUUUGACUGCUCACAAGACACUAUGAAGUUUGAAGGCCAGGAAGAGAGUGGUGCUAUGGGGUUCUCCUCUGAAAUGAGCUACCUGAACCCAGGCACACGUUUGGUCAAGUCAGGCUAGAGUUUCUCCAGGGUGGUUUGGCCACUGCUGAAGCUGCCAGCUGUGCAGGGGGAAAAAGGGAAAGAUUUGCUUGCCUUUCCUCCAUAAAGGCACCACUUGGUGUGUGUCUGCACUGCUUCUUCCCUGAAAUGCAGUGCCAGGAAGGUGCUGCUGCUCUCCCAGUCACUGGCACGAGGAAAGCAAACUGGCUGUCCUUGGCAUUUGAUAUAAGGCUUUCCACAAACACCAGCUAAUGGGAAUUCCUCACUGGUGUCCCUGGGAGUUUCAAUAUUGGAUGUCAAGGCAGACUUUUGUCUUCUCAGCAGGCAGUUGGACCUGAUGUGCUUAACCCUUUCCAGCCCAAACCAGAGGGCAAGGGACUGAGCAUGGCAGGGCUUCAGAGUGGGCUGGGGUCCUGCUCCAGCUCCCUGCUGUGCUUGGCUGC